Molecule: ribosomal RNA, 301 nt
Filed under: uncultured bacterium
Lineage: Bacteria
Description: partial 16S ribosomal RNA
Rfam family: Bacterial small subunit ribosomal RNA
Source: RNAcentral
CAGCAGCCACGGGAAUACAGAGGGUGCGAGCGUUAAUCGGAUUUACUGGGCGUAAAGCGUGCGUAGGCGGCUUCUUAAGUCGGACGUGAAAUCCCUGAGCUUAACUUAGGAAUUGCAUUCGAUACUGGGAAGCUAGAGUAUGGGAGAGGAUGGUAGAAUUCCAGGUGUAGCGGUGAAAUGCGUAGAGAUCUGGAGGAAUACCGAUGGCGAAGGCAGCCAUCUGGCCUAAUACUGACGCUGAGGUACGAAAGCAUGGGGAGCAAACAGGAUUAGAUACCCCCGUAGUCCCUGUCUCUUAUAC